This 105-nucleotide small RNA is filed under the name Flavobacterium urumqiense. RNAcentral's name for it is "Flavo-1 RNA". It matches the Rfam family "Flavo-1 RNA". Lineage: Bacteria; Pseudomonadati; Bacteroidota; Flavobacteriia; Flavobacteriales; Flavobacteriaceae. The record is from RNAcentral.
CUCUAGCCCUGAUAGAAGCGGCAUCCUUUUCUAGUCCUGAACUUGUUUCAGGAUCCUGAAACAAGUUCAGGACUAGAAAAGAUAUAGCGAAAAGCAGGAAACAGC